UACUUAGUGACAGAGCCGGCUAAACGAAAGCAUCAUCAUUUUUUAUACUUUUUUUCGGUUUUGGACUUCUUGGAAAUUGUAGUACUAUCGACUGAAGUAUACUUUUGCCGCUAGAGACUAAUUAAUCGUGUGCCUUAGGUGCAAUGUUUAUGAGAUGUGGUACGUGAACGUUUGUGCCGUAAGAAGUAAACAGCAGUCGCAUAAAGUAUAAUACUGAGAUUUACAGAUGGAUGAUGGCAGUAGAGAGCAGUCAUCACCGGAGUCUUCUGUUCGUGCUGGACCAUCAGCUUUGGGGCAAAAUGAGCAGGCCGAUCAAGAGGUACAGCCUUUGUGGAGCUCAUACAGGAAACCUACCCCCUGUCCAGAAUCAGAUCCAGAAUCAGACAACCAGUCCUAUGCAAGUGAAGCAUCAAGUGAUGAAUCUGUUCAGUGGGAAAAAGAGUUUAUAGGUAAACUGAUGAAAGUUAAGAAAUAUUCCUGUCAGCAAGAGAGAACAGCACCAGCCAGUGAGGGUGUGAUAGGAAUGCCUGUGGAGGAAGAGCUGCCAAAGCAUUGUGAUGUAAACCAGGACACCAAGCAAAGCAGCUAUCAGCAACAAGAAUCUGAGGUGCUAAGGUCAAUAUUACAUCAGGACAUAAUGGGAAGUCCAGGAAGUCCAACAAACAGCCAGGUGUCUUCAACAUGUGAUUCUGGCUGUAUGGAAGAACAUUAUGUGUCUUGUUUGCAUGAGCAUGAGAAUACAAGGCAAAAAUUGCACUAUAAGAAUCACCAGUUUGGAGAAGUGAAUAAACAUGAUAUUUCAGGGGUGACUGAGCAACAACCAGGAUGCUCAAAUAACUGUUGUGUGUCUUCAUCUUGUGAUUCAAAUCAGUUGCAAUUAAGACCAGACAUUGAAACAGAAGAUCAUAUUUGUGGUAAACUUAAUUUGGGCUAUGUUUCAAGAUGGAUGAAGGCACAACCAGCAAGUCCAACACAUUGUGAGGUUUCAUCAUCAUCAUAUGAUUCUGAGUCAGAUGAUGGGCAUGCUGGAUCUCGUGAACAGGAAAUGGAGAGACAAUACCGAACUUCCCUGCAGCAAGCACAACCAAAUUCAGACUUUAUUUUGGCUGGCACUUCAGAGGAAAGUGAGAAAAUGAUAGAAAGCCCAAGAAACUGCCAAGUUUCAUCUUCUUGUGAAUCUGAUUCAGAUGCCUCUGGGUACAGUAAAUUGUGUUUACGAGUGUCGGAGGACUCAAUGGAAGAUGACACAGACCAUUCAACUGGAAAAGAUAAAAGAAAGAAGUCAUGUGAAACAUCAGCUGCAGGAAAAGAUGGGGAUGACACACACAUAAAUGCGAGACCUGAGCAAUACAAGUCUGUAGAAUCAGUGAAUUAUGAUGUUAGUGAUGAAGUCCCAACUCAGAGAGCGCCAUUGUCUCCACGCAUUAAGAGGAGAAACGUUUCCCACCUGGGGCAGCUGGGUAGUUACUCUCAGUUGGAUUCAAACCAACCUUCUCACUGGCGUCAUCAGUGGACAAGGGACUUCCCCUGCAGAGGCCGCCCUGCCAGGUUGAGAAGCCAGUCCCCUGCAGAUAGAGUGAAUCGAUGGAAAAGAAGUCCGUCACCAGUGGAAUCCUGCAGAAAAUUGAGAAGCAGAAGCGUGCUACCGAUCAGAGAUACUCAACGUGUGACAUGGAGAAAAAGACGUUCGAAGUCUUGUGACACAUACAGAAAACAUAAAAGAUCACAUGAGAGUCGACAUCCAUCAAAAGAACAUUUACUAUUCAAAAGAAUGGAACCAGUAAGUGAACCAUCAUCGAACAAUAGAGUGGAAAGGCAGUCCAGAUCAACCAGAAGGAGAUGGUCGAAGCCUGCUAGCAUAUCUGGAAGGCACAAAACUUCAACUAGCAGUAGAGAUAAAUCAACACUGCAGAUGACUGCCAGCAAUUCAGAAUCAUUGUCAGUAAGAAUGGCUGCAAGAUGUAUACACUGCAGUAGUAGUCACAAAUUCCAAAAGGAACGCUCUGUACUUGACAGUGAACUUGCCAUUCAGGGAAGGAGCCAUGUGAACCAGACACUCUCGAGUAAAACUCAGAAUGUGGCAGAAGAACAGUUAACGUACAGAACGCGGCGUUCAUUGUCUAGAAGUAGAUCGGUAUUGAAUACGGCACAACAAGAAUCUGGGGCUGAGGUAAUAGGUACCAAAAUAAUGCAUAGUUUGUUGGGAGUCCAGGAAAACUCAAGUGGUAAAGAACAACCACCUCAAGGGUUCACAGAGCACACAAGGAAUCAAUCAAUGUGUCUAAACACAUCUAAAAGAAACAAAAGAACAAGUAAAAAGAAAGAGGCACCAAAAGAGCAUGUGACAACCUUAAGAAGUGAUUCAGUUAUUCAAAAUCAGAAAUCAUUCACUCAGUUGAAUAAAUUCUGUGAACUUGCACAAGAACAGCCAGCAUUUGGAAGCAAGCUCUCAGUGCGAAUUAACCGAUUAAAAAAUACUGAGGAUUUUAGGACUAACCAGUUGUCAGGUGAGCAGUCGUCACUCGAGGACAAGUACUUAAUAACAGAUCACAUUUCUGCAAGACUCCAGCAUUCAGGCCCAGAAGAUGCAUUUAGGAAGAAAAUACAUUCACAUAGAAGUCUGGUAUCAUCAGAGGAACGACCCACAUCUUCAAAUAAGCAAUCUUUAUCAGUGAAUAUGUCUAGAGGACAAAAUCAUCUGAAUAAAUUUCAAGAGAUAAAAGAUCAGUCAACUUUCAGCAGUACAAAUUCUUUGCUAACAAAAUCUAGUGAGGAUGUCCAUUUAAGCAAGGACAAAGAAUUGUCUUAUGAUCAUGUAGCUGACAGUAGUUGUUUAAUGCCAAAAAAUAACACUGAAAGGCAUACUGAAUCAAAAAAGAAUCAAGAACUGGCAGGAGGUACCUUAAAUUUGAAAAACUUUAAAGGGUUCCCAGAAGAACAAGUUUCAGUAAACGGCAAGCUUUCUCUACCUGCGAUCUUAUCAGAAAGUUGUGAUUUUCCAAUAAGCGCGCAAACACUACAUCAGCUGUACUCAGCAAGAAAAAGACAUUCUGCAUCUGUGCUCACACAAGGGACGUCUUCAUCACUGAAUGAAGUCAAAAUGGCACCAUAUCCUUUGUCAGAUAGCAAACGUUUGUCUAGAAAACGAAAACUCUCAAAAGAAGACUGUCAGUCACAACAUAAGUCUCUCAACUCCAGGUGCCAAUUUAUGUCAGCGCCUUGUGUAGCAUGUGAAAACCAAGGACAUCUUUCCAAAAGGAGAGUACUUGGGAAGGUCAAGCAAUCUGCUGAAGCUGUACAGAGCGUCCUCCAGUCAAACAACAUGAAAGUGAGCAAAAACAAAGCUCUACAUCUCCAAACAGCAACAUAUAAUUCACAUCUACAGUUAGGACAUUCCUCCACAGUGAAUGGGUCUACUGCAUCUAGUGAAACCUCACAGGAAAAAAGUUAUUCUAAGAUUUCAGGAAGAAAUAGUUCCUUAUUUAAAGAUGCAAAUGCAGUAUGUGAUGUAACAGCAUCAGAUGCCAGAGCGGUAAAAUGUUCCUCGCAAGACAGAAUUUGCUGCAAAGAAGACAGUGCUUUGUUAGGACCUAGUACAAGUCAGAUCAAGCCUUGUUCAGUGGUUCUUAAAAAUUUAGAACUUUCAUCAGAGAAAUUUGUAUUCCCACCCUUUCCUCAUGUUACUUGGACUACAAAAGCGAGUGACUUCUGUUUGCCGCAAGAUUAUAUGAACACAGUGCGGAAAAAAGGCAAGUGAACUGACAACACUGCCAUCCAUAUGAAUGCAUGUCACCAAGACAGUGUGUGUGUGUGUGUGUGUGUGUGUGUGUGUGUGUGUGUGUGUGUGUGUGUGUGUGUGUGUGUG
Molecule: unclassified non-coding RNA, 3865 nt
Filed under: Schistocerca americana (American grasshopper)
Lineage: Eukaryota; Metazoa; Arthropoda; Insecta; Orthoptera; Acrididae
Description: uncharacterized LOC124595634, transcript variant X2
Source: RNAcentral